UGCUUUUACAGUGCUUUUAUAUAAGCUUCUAAAAUAAUAGAGGUUCUAAUGCAUAAGAUCAAUAGAGGCUGCAGAGGGAUGUAGGUUCAGCAAGCUCCAUCACAGCCACAAGAUCCCCAACAUUCAGGACAGUUUCAAAACCUGGUGCCUCUAGACGGCAGUAUCCAUCAUGAAGGACCUUCACCAAAUGGUACAUGCCCUCCUUUCAUAAGUGGCAGCAGAAUCAGAUAUGAUUGUGUCAUUCAAGAGGCAUUUAUGUAGGCACAUGAAUAUGCAGGGAAUGAAGGAAUAGGGAUCAUGUAGAGGCAGAAGGCAUUAAUUUAAUUUGGUGUCAUGCAUGGCCCUGACAUUGUAAGCCAGGCGGCCCGUUCCCAUACUGUGCUGUUUUAUGUUCUAUUUGCUUUUAGGAGGCUAACGAGGUCAAUGUGGUAGCUGCCGACUCUUCCAUAGAUGGGGGAAGUCCUGUGGAUUGACCAUGGAGAAAAUAGAUUCACAAAUCAAAGCUGUGCACCUCUAUCAUCCUACAAGUUAUCCCUGAGUUAUGAACAGAUUCGGCUCUUACAGAUACCCAUGAGAUGAUUUUGUCGAUUCUGCCUGACCUAUUGAGUUUCUACAGCAUUUUGUAUGUUUAUUGUAGUUGAGUGGUGCCUCUCUAAGACCAACCCUACGUCCCUGUUGUGAGAAUUGGAAACGGGUAGGGCCAGCCAACAGGGAUCCGGUGAAGUUGUAUAGGCCGAUACCCUGUGGGUGCAAUGGAUUACAGAAACAUUGAUGGACUGCAAUCAUGCCAUCGACUUUGGGCAAUGGAGACAGGAGGUCAUCAAUGGCCUAUGCUCCAUCGGGAGCUAAGAGCCCAAGAAGAAGACGAAGCAGCUGAGUGGUGGAACUUGGAAGGAUUUGAAGGGAACAUGGGCAGAGUUAAAAUGGGAUUAGUGUAGAUGGAUACUCAAUGGCCAGCGUGAAGUCAGUGGGCCAAUGCUCCAUCAUUUUAUACAGUAUAUGGUUCUUCACAACAAUAGCAAACACAAUCACUGUAACUUAUUGGCAUAUUAGAAAAAUAUACCUCAAGAUAACAUUUUUAAUACUGGAAUAAAUGUAUAUGUGUGUAAUUUAAUGAUCUACAAAGUCACAGAGAAUUUCAGUUGUUUCAUUGUGAAACCGCUGAUUUUUAUUUCAACUGUGCAUACAUGUACUGGUUCAUAUGACCAUAACUCAA
Mobula hypostoma (lesser devil ray) is the source of this 1216-nucleotide long non-coding RNA. RefSeq lists it as uncharacterized. The transcript is spliced from 3 exons. The record is from RefSeq and is a predicted model, not a curated record. NCBI's taxonomy places the organism in Eukaryota, Metazoa, Chordata, Chondrichthyes, Myliobatiformes, Myliobatidae.